AAAUUGAAGAGUUUGAUCAUGGCUCAGAUUGAACGCUGGCGGCAGGCCUAACACAUGCAAGUCGAACGGUAACAGGAAGCAGCUUGCUGCUUUGCUGACGAGUGGCGGACGGGUGAGUAAUGUCUGGGAAACUGCCUGAUGGAGGGGGAUAACUACUGGAAACGGUGGCUAAUACCGCAUAACGUCGCAAGACCAAAGAGGGGGACCUUCGGGCCUCUUGCCAUCAGAUGUGCCCAGAUGGGAUUAGCUAGUUGGUGAGGUAACGGCUCACCAAGGCGACGAUCCCUAGCUGGUCUGAGAGGAUGACCAGCCACACUGGAACUGAGACACGGUCCAGACUCCUACGGGAGGCAGCAGUGGGGAAUAUUGCACAAUGGGCGCAAGCCUGAUGCAGCCAUGCCGCGUGUAUGAAGAAGGCCUUCGGGUUGUAAAGUACUUUCAGCGGGGAGGAAGGUGUUGUGGUUAAUAACCGCAGCAAUUGACGUUACCCGCAGAAGAAGCACCGGCUAACUCCGUGCCAGCAGCCGCGGUAAUACGGAGGGUGCAAGCGUUAAUCGGAAUUACUGGGCGUAAAGCGCACGCAGGCGGUCUGUCAAGUCGGAUGUGAAAUCCCCGGGCUCAACCUGGGAACUGCAUUCGAAACUGGCAGGCUUGAGUCUUGUAGAGGGGGGUAGAAUUCCAGGUGUAGCGGUGAAAUGCGUAGAGAUCUGGAGGAAUACCGGUGGCGAAGGCGGCCCCCUGGACAAAGACUGACGCUCAGGUGCGAAAGCGUGGGGAGCAAACAGGAUUAGAUACCCUGGUAGUCCACGCCGUAAACGAUGUCUACUUGGAGGUUGUGCCCUUGAGGCGUGGCUUCCGGAGCUAACGCGUUAAGUAGACCGCCUGGGGAGUACGGCCGCAAGGUUAAAACUCAAAUGAAUUGACGGGGGCCCGCACAAGCGGUGGAGCAUGUGGUUUAAUUCGAUGCAACGCGAAGAACCUUACCUGGUCUUGACAUCCACAGAACUUUCCAGAGAUGGAUUGGUGCCUUCGGGAACUGUGAGACAGGUGCUGCAUGGCUGUCGUCAGCUCGUGUUGUGAAAUGUUGGGUUAAGUCCCGCAACGAGCGCAACCCUUAUCCUUUGUUGCCAGCGGUCCGGCCGGGAACUCAAAGGAGACUGCCAGUGAUAAACUGGAGGAAGGUGGGGAUGACGUCAAGUCAUCAUGGCCCUUACGACCAGGGCUACACACGUGCUACAAUGGCGCAUACAAAGAGAAGCGACCUCGCGAGAGCAAGCGGACCUCAUAAAGUGCGUCGUAGUCCGGAUUGGAGUCUGCAACUCGACUCCAUGAAGUCGGAAUCGCUAGUAAUCGUGGAUCAGAAUGCCACGGUGAAUACGUUCCCGGGCCUUGUACACACCGCCCGUCACACCAUGGGAGUGGGUUGCAAAAGAAGUAGGUAGCUUAACCUUCGGGAGGGCGCUUACCACUUUGUGAUUCAUGACUGGGGUGAAGUCGUAACAAGGUAACCGUAGGGGAACCUGC
Molecule: ribosomal RNA, 1524 nt
Filed under: Salmonella enterica
Lineage: Bacteria; Pseudomonadati; Pseudomonadota; Gammaproteobacteria; Enterobacterales; Enterobacteriaceae
Description: bacterial SSU rRNA
Rfam family: Bacterial small subunit ribosomal RNA
Source: RNAcentral